Molecule: non-coding RNA, 117 nt
Filed under: Homo sapiens (human)
Lineage: Eukaryota; Metazoa; Chordata; Mammalia; Primates; Hominidae
Source: Rfam by way of RNAcentral
GCCGGGCGUGGUGGCUCACGCCUGUAAUCCCAGCACUUUGGGAGGCUGAGGUGGGUUGAUCACCUGAGGUCAGGAGUUUGAGACCAGCCUGACCAACAUGGCGAAACCCCGUCUCUA